This is a long non-coding RNA of Antechinus flavipes (yellow-footed antechinus), 564 nucleotides long. RefSeq lists it as uncharacterized. Lineage: Eukaryota; Metazoa; Chordata; Mammalia; Dasyuromorphia; Dasyuridae. The transcript has 4 exons. The record is from RefSeq and is a predicted model, not a curated record.
UCUCUCUUUUUCCCAGUUAUUAACAACUCAUCUAUAUAUUGAAGUACUCUGAUCCCUGGGUAGAAGUCAAAGUCUUCCAAGAGUUUUCCCAGGACUUGCCCAAACAAGUUUAGGAGAUUCUGUGUAGCCCUAUGGAACUCACAGAGAAUGUUACUUCCUGGGUGUAUGAAGCAGAUGUGGAAAAUUUUAUUGUUUAUAAACAAAAACUCUCAAAUUUAGCCAGCCAAGUUGAAGAACCUGAGGCUAACAGAGGUGAACUAACUUGUCAAGGAUCACACAGCUAUUAUCUGACACCAGAUUUGCACUUAUGUCUUCCUGACUCCAAGUCCAGCAAUCUAUCCACUGUGCCACCUAGCUGCUCUCUUGAGGAUAAGUGACCUUCCCAACAUCACAUAGCAGAAUGUGCCAGGACCAAGGGAACAUAUCAUACCAGAAGCCAAGAACACGGAUUAUUUCCCUUCUCUCAAAUUCAUAGAAACCUGACAUUUCUUCAGUUUUAUCAAACAAAAAAGAAGGGUCAGCUCAUCCUAUAUUCACAGAUUCCAGAUGUCACAUCAACUCAUA